AAAAAUACUUUAUCAAUUAACACAAUACCACAAACAUGCAAAAACCAAAAUCAAAAUAAAAGGGGGACUCGGCAUUUUAGUAUUGAGAGCUCUUUGGUGGUUUUUAAAGGUUUGGUUAGUAGGAAAAGGUUGUGAGGAAAGAUAAAAAGGAAAAAGAAGAGAAAGGAAAUGGAAAGCCACUGUUAAUGACAGUAGAUGUCGCAUUCAACGGCGACAAGUUGGCUUCUAGAAAAGUGAAAUGGUGGAAAGGAAUAGGACGAAGAUAAGAGCGACACACUUAAGUUUCAGGCGAUUUGGAUGGCAGAAAAGGGCCCAAACAAUGGCCGGAAGUUUCAGGUUUAUUUUUUAGAUCUAGGAAUUCUUGUAGACUUUUAGGAAAGUCUAGCUUGGGAAAAGAAAAGAGGGAAUCGAAAGGAGUUUCUAGGUAAGUUUCAAAUGAUUUUGACGCCAACAACAAGUGGUUGGCAACAGUAUCGU
This 477-nucleotide long non-coding RNA is filed under the name Durio zibethinus. RNAcentral describes it as "long non-coding RNA (DZIB_LNC001739)". Lineage: Eukaryota; Viridiplantae; Streptophyta; Magnoliopsida; Malvales; Malvaceae. The record is from RNAcentral.